Molecule: non-coding RNA, 3928 nt
Organism: Misgurnus anguillicaudatus (oriental weatherfish)
Lineage: Eukaryota; Metazoa; Chordata; Actinopteri; Cypriniformes; Cobitidae
Source: RefSeq, a predicted model, not a curated record
UAACACGCACUACGUGUUAACGCGUAAAUCACGUGUUAACACGCACUACGUGUUAACGCGUAAGUGCGUGUUAACACGUAAAUCACGUGUUAACGCGUUAGAAAUCAUGGACAUGGAGUUUUACCACCAUCUAGUGGUGUGGCGAAUCUGACCUAAAUACACAGAACGGACAGAUAGAUAGGAUUGUAAAUUGAAGUAUUUUAUCCUAAAUAUAUAUUUUUAAAAGUAAUUAACAGUGAAUAAUGAUCAUAAAUAGUUUACAGCUUGGACUAUAUAUAAUAAUUAUAGUAUAAUUUAAUUUUGUUAUAAAUAAUUUUGUUAGCUUUGUGAAUUAGCCAAUAGUCCCAAUUUCUAUUUACUUUGUGUCUAAUGUCUUGUUCUUUUAGUACCUGCCUAUGGAAAGAAUUAUAUUCUUAAAAAUAGAGGUGUUAAAUGAUGACACAGUAGUGUCACACAAUUCUUAUAAACAGUAGAGGAUGAUUAAUAUUGCAAGAAAAAAUUCUUUAAACACUAGUUAACCACAGGUAAUCUAAUUAAGUUUAUGUUAAUAACAAAUGGUUAAUAGCAAGAUUAUGAACGUAAAUGAAAUGUAUGCUCAAGCAGAUGGUACAUCUGCAUCAUUUUUGAACACACACACACACAUUAUGAUGUUCUACGUAUGAAGUCUUUGGACUACCUGCCAUCAUGAUCUGAUUGCACUUAAAGCUAGUUCAACUAGUUUAUAAAUGCCUUAUAAAAUUUGUUUUUCACUAGUGUCAUACACAUAUCCUUAAUAAUACAGUAUAGCAAUACCACACUAUAUAAUUACAACCAAUUUAGCAUAUGAACAACAGAUGGAACUCUAUAUGUAUGGCCUAAUGGGAGAACAUCAAUGUCAUUGUAUAGAGCAGUUAGGCUUUAAAACAUGCUUUUUGAGUUUAAUUAAUAAUCUUAUUUUGUCUGAAGGAGGCUCUCUACUACAAACCUUUUAAGCUUUUUUGUUUUUACUUUUUGGCACGCGUUGCCUCAGACAAAGUUUCCAUAUCAGAAAGUAUGUGUCAUAGAUCAAUCUGAGGCUUCCAAUGGAUUAGUCACGCUCAGACUGUUUCUUUGUCAUAGUAACUAGAACUACUCUGCAGCAGAUACUAGAACAAUUAUGCAAAUGUAAUAAACUUUUGAUGCUUUUUUUCUGUGUAUUUUCUGAUCUAUAAGACACUUUGGAUGAAUGUAUAUGCUAAAUGAAUAAAUGCAUAUGUGAUGACUGGAAAAAAAGAAGAAUGGCAAUAAAACACAUGUCUAUAGCUUUGAUUGGAAUUAAAAAAAAUGUGCUUUCUUGUUUUCACCUUUAGCACCUUUUAACUCCAAGCAGAUAUGAGACAGAUAGGCUACUCACUACAGGGGGCUGCAAGAAUAAAACAAAAUAUUUAUUUUUGAUUAUGCCCUCGAUAAUCAUGAUAAUUAAUGUUGAUUAAUAGACUACAUUAAAAUGCUUAAUUGCAUUUUUAUAGGUAAUUCAUUUUAUAGGCUAAAACGUUUGAAUGGUUUUUGCUUGCUUACUAAUUUAAGACAUCACACUAACUUUCUGAGUGACAUGGAAACAAAAGGUUUUUCAAACUUGGACUAAACGGGACUCUAAUUAGUUAUGAAAAAUUUAGUCAAGAAAACAGUAUUAAUAUUACUCAAAGAGAUUUUCUAAGAAUAAUUAAGGGUAUUUCCCCUAAACUUCUACAGCUUAUCAGAUCAUCCUUACAAUACUCUCCUUUAAGGGAAGACAUUCCUCAAAUAAUGAUAGAUGGUAUUGACUUGUUAGAUAAAAAAAUGCAAUAAUAUUCAUAUCAGAAGAACAUUAAUCUUUAUAAGUAGUAUUUCUCCUAAAGCAGUGUCUUCAUGGAAACGGUUAUAUCCUUCUGUAUCUUUAUCUAACAUAUGGUCUAUUCAUAAUAAGUUUGUGAUACCAAAUAAAGUCAAAGAAAUCCACCUUAAAAUCCUUCAUAUUUUUUACCCCUGCAAGUUAUUUUUAUCUAAAUUUAUGGAUAUUCACCCAGAGUGCUCUUUUUGUGGUUCUGAAAAUGAAUCAGUGAUUCAUUUGUUUGUUAAAUGUCCCUUUACAACACCAUUUUGGAAUGAAAUUUCAAGAUUGAUUUUUACAUCCUUUAAUAAUCUUAUUGACUUCACUGAAGAAAUGGUCCUGUUUUUGUCAUGUAAUACUGGUUCUGUUCCUUUAAACAAUACUAUUAAUAUCCUGUGCUUGCUUGGAAAAGGUCAUAUUAAUAAGUGUAAAGUUACAGCCUCAAAACCUAAUUUUAUUGCAUUUUGCUCAGAAUUAAAAGGUUUAACUGAAUCUCUUUGUAAAUUAAAGAAUAACAAAAAAGCAGUUAAAUCAUACCAGAUAUUAAAUAAGGUUUUGAAUUCACAUGUAAUUUGAGAUAUGAUAUUUAGAUGAACUUUCCUACCCCCUACUUGAGUAAAAAUAUAAAAAUUAUUUUAUGUCUAUGUAUGUUUUUUCUUUAUUUAUUUUCUUUCUUUAUUUUAUUAUUAUUUGUUUAUUUAUUUCAUUAUUAUUUUUUAUAACUGUAAAUCCCUCAUAAAAGAAUGUUUGUUCUUAUUACUUUAUAAUACUAUGUUAUUGUAUAAUACUAUUUGUAUGUAUAAUACAAAUGUUAAUUGUUACUGACAUUAUGGUAAUAAUAAAAAAAAAAACAGAAAAAAAAACUCGUUUUAGUCAUUUGUGCAUUGCAUGUCGUUACCACUAAUGAGCACAAGAUGGCAGAUGACUUCUUCGCCACUAUCAUUUUGAGUCGUAUUUUAAAGGAAGAUUUACAAGCAAUAGCAUGCAAUGAUUUUACUAUAGCCAACUUAUUAAAUGAAGAUCCAAAACCAGGAAGUCAAAUGCAGUUUGAGAUUUAUUAAGAAUAGUGUGUUAUAUAACAGGAUAUAGAAGAGGCAGAUCAUUAUUUUCACACUCCAUCACAGCAGGUGGCGGUAUGCACCUUUAAAGUUGGUUCGUAACCCGCCAUUAAACCAAAAGAAGAAGAUGAAGAUUGUAACGUCAGCUCAUCGUAAGCAUUAGGUAAGUGCUCGCUCACAAGCUUAUGAAUAAUUAUAUUGCAGCGAAUGCGUUACGACAGGCACUGUCAUUGUGUGAAUAAUUAAUGAUAUAGUGAUCCAAGCAUUACGUCGAGUUUGCCGUAAGCUUACCUCAUAGCCAUAGUAAGCCAGGUUUGCUGACGGACACGGAAGAGCCAAAAAGUACUAUUGAGGAAUACAAACGCAAAAGCAGCAGCAGUAACAACAACAGAAAACAGUUUUGUUAGAUAAAUGGCCUUGGGCAAAAGUCUUUAUAACUGCAAUCACAUAAGUUAGUGGAAACAGUGUCAGGCUUUCCCAGAUGGAGACAAUAUAGUGAGAUUAUUCACCCAGUGUUUAUUCACAAGAUUGACCGAAGCUUAUUUAGAUGACCAAAUUAUGAACAUUGUGACCCACCCUGAGGCUGUAAGAGUGUGCCUGAUGAGAGAAUGCAUACUUGAAGCAGUUAAAGGACUUAAUAUAUUCAAGAAGACCAAGCAAUCCUUAUAGGACUACAUGCAAAGCAAUGUACUCCAGACCGCACAACUGGACAUACAGAUUGUGCCCUGAUGCCAUCUGCCCCGUUCUCCCAGCCUCAUCUUCCCUCUCUAUGCCUAGCUUCACAUCGGUUGGCUCUUCUUUGGCUCUCUUCAUCUCGUCUGCCUGCCUCGCUGCUCUCCCUGAUAACAUUUCCUGACUGAUGCCUUGCACUCUGACUCUUUCUGUAAGGUGCCAUUCUCAGCAGUGACUCAAUUUAGUGCCACCCUGCUGCUUGGCAUUGCACUUCUGAGGUCAUCACCAUCUUUCUUCAGCCAACCAAAAUUAUUCUCACCAACAACCCCGGCUCUGCUAACCUUGAUGUUGGAGAUCUGCUGUUUUUGAA